RNAcentral lists this ribosomal RNA (1768 nucleotides) under human gut metagenome. RNAcentral describes it as "bacterial LSU rRNA". It matches the Rfam family "Bacterial large subunit ribosomal RNA", at positions 1070 to 2925 of the family's 2925-position model. The record is from RNAcentral.
AGGAUGUGGAAUUGCACAGACAACCAGGAUGUUGGCUUAGAAGCAGCCACUCAUUAAAAGAGUGCGUAAUAGCUCACUGGUCGAGUGACUCUGCGCCGAAAAUUUAACGGGGCUAAACUAUACACCGAAGCUUGGGAUACAUCUAAUGUAUGGUAGGAGAGCGUUCUGUAUGGGGAGAAGUCGUAGCGAAAGCGGCGGUGGACUAUACAGAAGUGAGAAUGCCGGAAUAAGUAGCGAGAAUUAAGUGAGAAUCUUAAUGGCCGAAAGUCUAAGGUUUUUGGAGGAAGGUUCGUCCGCUCCAAGUAAGUCGGGAGCUAAGGUCAGGCCGAAAGGCGUAGCCGAUGCACAUACGGUUGAUAUUCCGUAACCAUCUGUAAUUUAAGCAAAGGGACACUUCAAAAGGGUGUGACCCGGGCGUUGGUUGACCCGGGCGUAAGGGACCGAAAUUAGAGUAGGGAAGCACACUUGGCUGAAGGCGAGAAAAGCUUUGCGUAUAGAAACAGAUGCCCGUACCGCAAACCGACACAGGUGGACAGGAAGAGAAUUCUAAGGCCAGCGGGAGAAGGGUAGUUAAGGAACUCGGCAAAUUGACUCCGUAACUUCGGAAUAAGGAGUGCUCGAAAGAGCCGCAGAGAAUAGGCCCAGGCGACUGUUUAGCAAAAACACAGGUCUCUGCCAAAUCGAAAGAUGAAGUAUAGGGGCUGACACCUGCCCGGUGCCGGAAGGUUAAGAGGAGGAGUGAGAGCUCCGAAUUGAAGCCCCGGUAAACGGCGGCCGUAACUAUAACGGUCCUAAGGUAGCGAAAUUCCUUGUCGGGUAAGUUCCGACCCGCACGAAUGGUGUAACGAUCUGGGCACUGUCUCAACUACCCACCCGGCGAAAUUGUAGUACCGGUGAAGAUGCCGGUUACCUGCGGCAAGACGGAAAGACCCCAUGGAGCUUUACUGUAGCCUGAUAUUGGGUUUCGGAAAUCUAUGUACAGGAUAGGCGGGAGACUGGGAAACAUGAGCGUCAGCUUGUGUGGAGUCGAUGUUGGGAUACCGCCCUUAGGUUUCUGGAAUUCUAACCUGCGGCCGUGAAUCCGGUCGGGGGACAUUGUCAGGUGGGCAGUUUGACUGGGGCGGUCGCCUCCGAAAAGGUAACGGAGGCGCUCAAAGGUUAGCUCAGCACGGACGGAAACCGUGCCUCUGAGUGUAAACGCAAAAGCUAGCCUAACUGCGAGGGUGACGGCCCGAGCAGUAACGAAAGUUGGAGUUAGUGAUCCGGCGGUAUGUGAAUGGAAAUGCCGUCGCUCAACGGAUAAAAGCUACCCUGGGGAUAACAGGCUGAUCUCCCCCAAGAGUCCACAUCGACGGGGAGGUUUGGCACCUCGAUGUCGGCUCAUCACAUCCUGGGGCUGUAUUCGGUCCCAAGGGUUCGGCUGUUCGCCGAUUAAAGUGGUACGCGAGCUGGGUUCAGAACGUCGCGAGACAGUUCGGUCCCUAUCUGUCGUGGGCGCAGGAUAUUUGAGGAGCUCUGUCCUUAGUACGAGAGGACCGGGAUGGACGUACCUCUGGUGCACCAGUUGUCAUGCCAAUGGCACGGCUGGGCAGCUAUGUACGGAACGGAUAAACGCUGAAAGCAUCUAAGCGUGAAGCCGACUCCAAGAUUAGAUAUCCCAUCGUAUAACGAGUAAGACCCCUUGAAGACUACGAGGUUGAUAGGCUGCGUGUGUAAGUGCCGUGAGGCAUUCAGCUUGGCAGUACUAAUAGGUCGAGGGCUUGACCAC